CCCUUAGAUGUUCUGGGCCGCACGCGUGCUACACUGAUGCAUUCAACGAGUCUAAAACCUGGUCUGAUAGGGCUGGGUAAUCUUUUGAAAGUGCAUCGUGAUUGGGAUAGAUGAUUGCAAUUCUUCAUCUUCAACGAGGAAUGCCUAGUAAACGCAAGUCAUCAGCUUGCAUUGAUUACGUCCCUGCCCUUUGUACACACCGCCCGUCGCACCUACCGAUUGGAUGGUCCGGUGAAGCCUCGGGAUUGUGGUUCUUGCCGCUUUAUUGUGGCGUGACCGCGAGAACUUGUCUAAACCUUAUCAUCUAGAGGAAGGUGAAGUCGUAACA
RNAcentral lists this ribosomal RNA (328 nucleotides) under uncultured eukaryote. RNAcentral describes it as "partial 18S ribosomal RNA". It matches the Rfam family "Eukaryotic small subunit ribosomal RNA", at positions 1470 to 1796 of the family's 1831-position model. The record is from RNAcentral.